Raphanus sativus (radish) is the source of this 1120-nucleotide long non-coding RNA. RefSeq lists it as uncharacterized. The transcript is spliced from 2 exons. The record is from RefSeq and is a predicted model, not a curated record. Lineage: Eukaryota; Viridiplantae; Streptophyta; Magnoliopsida; Brassicales; Brassicaceae.
UGGAUUUCUUCUCUCUCCAUCUCUCUCUUGACGAAAAUUGUUCUUCUCUCCACAUAUCUCUCUGUGAUUCUCCUCAUCGCAUCCUCUGUUUCUUGAUCUCUAUAUUCUUUUCAUGAUAAUAACGGGAAAAAGCUCAAUCAAAGAAGGAGAAUGAGAUCCCUAAUGUGUAAAAUCACACAACGAGAAGCCGCAUAGAUUGAUGAGACCUUGAUGUGUCCUCUUGGCUUCUCCGUUGAUCAGCUCAUGGUCUUCCUUUCUUCUUCUCCCUCUUCCGCUUUUGAUUUUACCCGUAGAGAUUGAUCAGACCUUGAUGGGUCCUCGUGGCUGAGGUUUAUCUUGGCGUGGUUAAGGUCUUACAUGGAUUGUAUGGCUUGAGAUCAAUUUCCCUUCAGUGGCUGAGGUUUCCAGAGCAGUACAGGUCCAGGAUCACUGCAAUAAAUGGAUGAAACCGCCACCAGGAGAUUGAUCAAAGUUACUUUAUUACCAUUGUUGCUGGGAAGAAGGCUCUUGAAAGUUCUGGUCUUGGUGGUGAUAAGCUUAGCACGGUACUACUCUUUUAGAUUGAUCAAAGUUCAGAGCUUUGACUCAUUCAGUUUAGAUGCUAAAUGACAGCAGGGAAGUGAAAGAUGAUUCCUUAAGCUGCUGGUGUCAUCAUCCCUUUAGCUUUGACCUUUCUGGUCCACAACGCUAAGAGAGACAAAGAAACGAGGAGUGACUGUCGACGACGUCGGUGGAGAGCCUGGUCACACCGUUAGGAACCACAGGUUCAAAGAUCCAGUCAGCUCCCACUGGGAAGACAUCUCCACUUUCCCGGAGCUCUUCGACAUCUCGUGUAAGAACCACAGCGACAAGUUUUUCCUCGGGACCAGGAGGCUGAUUGCUAGGGAGGUCGAGACUAGCGAGGACGGGAAAGUGUUUGAGAAGCUUCAUUUGGGUGAUUACGAGUGGAAGACGUUCGGAGAGACGCUUGACGCUAUGUAGUUUUGCUUCUGGUUUGGUUAGGAUUGGUUACUAAGAACCAACCUAAAAGUACCAGCAAUAAUCUCUUUUUUUCUUAAUGUUCCUUAACAUUGUUCUUUAGCUCAAAAAUACUAAUAAACAAUGCUAAGACCUUUCUAGC